Molecule: long non-coding RNA, 853 nt
Filed under: Brassica napus (rape)
Lineage: Eukaryota; Viridiplantae; Streptophyta; Magnoliopsida; Brassicales; Brassicaceae
Description: long non-coding RNA (BNAP_LNC008982)
Source: RNAcentral
AAAUGAAUCCACACGCGGCGGAGGAACUGACACCCAGCCGAGUCCUCCGACGAAGUCUGCGCCGUCGCCUGUAGAUAAGACCACGCGGCCUGCUUAACGAGCGGGUCGCGGAUCGAAAUAUCUCCGACGGUGGAUAAGACUGGAGAGCUGCUGCCGUUAAUAGACGGUAGCUUGACGGAGGAGUUGCUCGGAGACGAGAUGAUGUCUCUGAGAGAUGUGUAGGCUACGGAGGAAGGUGGUUUUAUGGAGAUGAGGUCGAAAUCGAACGACGAUGGAGAUUCGAUUGCGAAAGGGAUAUCGGAGGUGAUCACGGACGUUGGCGUUGCGAUGGAGAUUCUACGGCGGAGGGGAGUAGCCGGCGGAGUCUCCAUAGUUUUUUUUUUUUUUUUUUUUUUUUUGGGUGGUGAAUGCAGAACCCACUCGAACACACGUCUCAAGAACUGCACUCCGGCGGAGAAAUGAAUCCACACGCGGCGGAGGAACUGACACCCAGCCGAGUCCUCCGACGAAGUCUGCGCCGUCGCCUGUAGAUAAGACCACGCGGCCUGCUUAACGAGCGGGUCGCGGAUCGAAAUAUCUCCGACGGUGGAUAAGACUGGAGAGCUGCUGCCGUUAAUAGACGGUAGCUUGACGGAGGAGUUGCUCGGAGACGAGAUGAUGUCUCUGAGAGAUGUGUAGGCUACGGAGGAAGGUGGUUUUAUGGAGAUGAGGUCGAAAUCGAACGACGAUGGAGAUUCGAUUGCGAAAGGGAUAUCGGAGGUGAUCACGGACGUUGGCGUUGCGAUGGAGAUUCUACGGCGGAGGGGAGUAGCCGGCGGAGUCUCCAUAGUUUUUUUUUUUUUUUUUUUUUUUU